RNAcentral lists this small RNA (869 nucleotides) under uncultured zygomycete. RNAcentral describes it as "eukaryotic LSU rRNA". The stretch from base 605 to 869 matches the Rfam family "Eukaryotic large subunit ribosomal RNA", at positions 1 to 261 of the family's 3401-position model. Lineage: Eukaryota; Fungi. The record is from RNAcentral.
AAGUCGUAACAAGGUUUCCGUAGGUGAACCUGCGGAAGGAUCAUUCAUAAUAAGUGUUUUAUGGCACUUUUUAAAUCCAUAUCCACCUUGUGUGCAAUGUCAGUCGAUCUUCUUCAUGGAGAUCGACCAAACAUCAACCUUUAUUUUUUAACUCUUUGUCUGAAAAAUAUUAUGAAUAAACAAUUCAAAAUACAACUUUCAACAACGGAUCUCUUGGCUCUCGCAUCGAUGAAGAACGCAGCGAAAUGCGAUACGUAAUGUGAAUUGCAGAAUUCAGUGAAUCAUCGAAUCUUUGAACGCAUAUUGCGCUCUUUGGUAUUCCGAAGAGCAUGCUUGUUUGAGUAUCAGUAAACACCUCAAAGCUUUUGGAUUUUUUAAUCGAAAAGCUUUGGACUUGAGCAAUCCCAACACCAAUCUUUUUGAGAUCGGUGGCGGGUUGCUUGAAAUGCAGGUGCAGCUGGACAUUCUCCUGAGCCAAAAGCAUAUUCAUUUAGUCCCGUCAAACGGAUUAUUACUUUUGCUGCAGCUAACAUAAAGGGAGUUUGACCGUAUUGGCUGACUGAUGCAGGAUUUCACAAGGGUCGGCAACGAUUCUUGUUAGACUCGAUCUCAAAUCAAGUAAGACUACCCGCUGAACUUAAGCAUAUCAAUAAGCGGAGGAAAAGAAACUAACAAGGAUUCCCCUAGUAACGGCGAGUGAAGCGGGAUGAGCUCAAAUUUAAAAUCUGGCUGGUUUACUAGUCCGAAUUGUAGUUUAUAGAAGCGUUUUCGGUGGCAGCCUGGGUAUAAAUCCUUUGGAAUAGGGUAUCAUAGAGGGUGAGAAUCCCGUCUUUGACUCAGUGCAUGCUACUAUGUGAUACGUUUUCAAA